AACGAACGCUGGCGGCAUGCCUAACACAUGCAAGUCGAACGAGACCUUCGGGUCUAGUGGCGCACGGGUGCGUCACGCGGGGGAACCUGCCCUUAGGUUCGGAAUACCUCCCCGACAGGGGUGCUAAUACCGGAUAAUGUCUUCGGACCAAAGAUUUAUCGCCUUUGGAUGGGCCCGCGUUGGAUUAGCUAGUUGGUAGGGUAAAAGCCUACCACGGCGACGAUCCAUAGCUGGUCUGAGAGGAUGAGCAGCCACACUGGGACUGAGACACGGCCCAGACUCCUACGGGAAGCAGCAGUGGGGAAUAUUGGAAAAUGGGCGAAAGCCUGAUCCAGCAAUGCCGCGUGAGUGAUGAAGGCCUUAGGGUUGUAAAGCCCUUUUACCCGGGAUGAUAAUGACAGUACCGGGAGAAUAAGCUCCGGCUAACUCCGUG
Molecule: ribosomal RNA, 433 nt
Filed under: uncultured bacterium
Lineage: Bacteria
Description: partial 16S ribosomal RNA
Rfam family: Bacterial small subunit ribosomal RNA
Source: RNAcentral